This 484-nucleotide ribosomal RNA is filed under the name uncultured bacterium. RNAcentral's name for it is "partial 16S ribosomal RNA". It matches the Rfam family "Bacterial small subunit ribosomal RNA", at positions 28 to 507 of the family's 1533-position model. The record is from RNAcentral.
AUUGAACGCUGGCGGCAUGCUUUACACAUGCAAGUCGAACGGCAGCGCGGGCUUCGGCCUGGCGGCGAGUGGAGAACGGGUGAGUAAUGCAUUGGAACGUGCCCAGUAGUGGGGGAUAGCCCGGCGAAAGCCGGAUUAAUACCGCAUACGACCUGAGGGUGAAAGCGGGGGACCGAAAGGCCUCGCGCUAUUGGUGCGGCCGAUGUCGGAUUAGCUAGUUGGUGGGGUAAAGGCUUACCAAGGCGACGAUCCGUAGCUGGUCUGAGAGGACGACCAGCCACACUGGGACUGAGACACGGCCCAGACUCCUACGGGAGGCAGCAGUGGGGAAUUUUGGACAAUGGGGGCAACCCUGAUCCAGCCAUGCCGCGUGCGGGAAGAAGGCCUUCGGGUUGUAAACCGCUUUUGUUCGGGAAGAAAUCCUCUGGGCUAAUACCCCGGGGGGAUGACGGUACCGGAAGAAUAAGCACCGGCUAACUACGUG